GUUGCCCAAAUAGCACGUCAUCUCAGUUUCCAGAGCACUUUCCUAUCCCGUUGACUUCUCAUUCUCACAAAGGGUUGGUCCUGCUUAUGACGGUUCCAAGGCAGUGGCAUUUAGAAUAAGAUGACUCUGCAUUUACUCAGGGCUUGUCCACUUACCAGCUGGGUGAUCUUGGAAGUCUUGCAUGGCCUCUCUCAGCCUUAUUUGGAUCAGGACUAAUGACUGCGUGAUCCUAAAGUCUACCAUCCAGACCUAGAUACUUUUGAGCUUAAAAAGGCAUAUUCUGCUAUCUACCUGGAGGGAAGCCAUGCCUGUUUGCUCAGUAAUGAAGUCCUUGAAGGCAGGGCCUGGGUCUUGUUAAUCCUUUGUUCUCAGUACUUGUUAGAAAACCCAGCAUGAUGCACAGCCUUGGUGGAUGAAAUGACGACUGGAUGAACACGUUGUUGGAGUAAGUUCUGAAGGAAUGGUGAUCACAACAGGCAGUGGGGGUUUCAUUAGUGACACAGGCUAGGUCUGAGAAGGAAAAAGGCAAGUCCAGCUAUGGAUCUUCUAUGAGGCACUACUUACAAGAAUCCUUGCCAGGCUGCUGGAGCAGUCUCUCGUCUUCCCCAAAAGUGGGCCUUGUUUGAGAUGACUAGCUGACAUUGGAUUCAAAACUAUUUUUUGGCGAGAAGAGGAGACAUAAAGGAUCUGGUUCCAACGUGGGCCCCAAAUUAGGCUUUGAGUGGAGCUCCAACCUCUGGAAGUUCUAAUAAGACCUUGUUUUCAUGGAACCUCUAGCCUCAUGGCAAGGAGACAGCGUACGAGGAAACAAAUGGACGAAUAAAAGAAUUUCAGAUGGUCACAAAUACUGUGAAGAAACAAAAUAUAAAGAAGUAAGAAAAACAUCCCUACAACUUGGUCUAAGGAGGAGUAACCAGAUAUUUUACUAGUUCAUCAACACAGGAUUUGAGGAGAAUCUAUGUAUUGUGCUGUUGCUACGUUUAUGUAAGAUAGAUAAACCAUGAGGUGUAGCAGACAGAAGGAAAGAUUGGAAGACAGGAGACACAACCAUCAGCUCUGGUUCUGUCUCUGCCUCAACAUGCCGCAUGGCCUCUGGCAAGUAAUAUUAACUCUC
Long non-coding RNA from Canis lupus familiaris (dog), 1114 nucleotides. RefSeq lists it as uncharacterized. Lineage: Eukaryota; Metazoa; Chordata; Mammalia; Carnivora; Canidae. The record is from RefSeq and is a predicted model, not a curated record. The transcript has 4 exons.